RNAcentral lists this ribosomal RNA (407 nucleotides) under uncultured bacterium. RNAcentral describes it as "bacterial SSU rRNA". It matches the Rfam family "Bacterial small subunit ribosomal RNA", at positions 28 to 457 of the family's 1533-position model. The record is from RNAcentral.
GACGAACGCUGGCGGUGUGCUUCACACAUGCAAGUCGAACGAGGUAGCAAUACCUAGUGGCGGACGGGUGAGUAACGCGUGGGAAUCUGCCUUUAGAUGGGGGAUAACGGGUCGAAAGGACUCGCUAAUACCGCAUAUGACGAAAGUUGAAAGGAGUAAUCCGUCUAAAGAUGAGCCCGCGUCCGAUUAGCUAGUUGGUAGAGUAAAAAGCCUACCAAGGCGACGAUCGGUAGCUGGUCUGAGAGGAUGAUCAGCCACAAUAGGGAACUAGAGACACGGCCCAUACUCCUACGGGAGGCAGCAGUGGGGAAUUUUACGCAAUGGGGGAAACCCUGACGUAGCGACACCGCGUGAGCGAAGAAGCCCUGGGGUGUAAAAGGCUCUGUCAGCUGGACGAAAAAAAUAGA